AGGGGAGGCAGGACGGAGGCAGAAGGCGGAAGUAAACCAAGAGCGGUGGCUAAACAAGAAUUACUGUACUUGAAGAGGACAACAUGCUAACCCAGAGACUUCUUUGACAAAUGUGGCCAUGGACAGACAGGCUGGUCGACUUUCACAACCCUUCAUGAGGAUUGUGAUUGAAUAUUCAUCCAAAUAGGAUUAUGUGAGCGUCCUGUUGGUCGGCAUCCCAGCGAGAGUGGAAAUAUUACAUACGUCCGAGGAGGAACCUUCUAUCUGAACAGCAUGAGUUCUACUUGUGAGGUAAUUUGCAAACCAUCCAACUGCUUGCUGAGAAAAACCAGUAGCUGAAAGACGUUUGAUUAAAAUGACAUGAUCAAAAGUAUCAAAUGCCUUUGAAAAGUCAAU
This is a long non-coding RNA of Entelurus aequoreus (snake pipefish), 396 nucleotides long. RefSeq lists it as uncharacterized. The record is from RefSeq and is a predicted model, not a curated record. Lineage: Eukaryota; Metazoa; Chordata; Actinopteri; Syngnathiformes; Syngnathidae. The transcript has 4 exons.